RNAcentral lists this ribosomal RNA (551 nucleotides) under uncultured Pseudoalteromonas sp. RNAcentral describes it as "bacterial SSU rRNA". It matches the Rfam family "Bacterial small subunit ribosomal RNA", at positions 1 to 523 of the family's 1533-position model. The record is from RNAcentral. Lineage: Bacteria; Pseudomonadati; Pseudomonadota; Gammaproteobacteria; Alteromonadales; Pseudoalteromonadaceae.
GGGGAAGGGCCCUCGCGUGUGCGCGUAGAUUAGAGUUUGAUCCUGGCUCAGAUUGAACGCUGGCGGCAGGCCUAACACAUGCAAGUCGAGCGGAAACGAAGAGUAGCUUGCUACUCUGGCGUCGAGCGGCGGACGGGUGAGUAAUGCUUGGGAACAUGCCUUGAGGUGGGGGACAACAGUUGGAAACGACUGCUAAUACCGCAUAAUGUCUACGGACCAAAGGGGGCUUCGGCUCUCGCCUUUAGAUUGGCCCAAGUGGGAUUAGCUAGUUGGUGAGGUAAUGGCUCACCAAGGCGACGAUCCCUAGCUGGUUUGAGAGGAUGAUCAGCCACACUGGGACUGAGACACGGCCCAGACUCCUACGGGAGGCAGCAGUGGGGAAUAUUGCACAAUGGGCGCAAGCCUGAUGCAGCCAUGCCGCGUGUGUGAAGAAGGCCUUCGGGUUGUAAAGCACUUUCAGUCAGGAGGAAAGGUUAGUAGUUAAUACCUGCUAGCUGUGACGUUACUGACAGAAGAAGCACCGGCUAACUCCGUGCCAGCCGCCGCGGUAA